RNAcentral lists this transfer RNA (75 nucleotides) under bacterium. Its description in RNAcentral is "tRNA-Glu". It matches the Rfam family "tRNA". Rfam says of the family: Transfer RNA (tRNA) molecules are approximately 80 nucleotides in length. Their secondary structure includes four short double-helical elements and three loops (D, anti-codon, and T loops). RNAcentral also lists the same sequence under 2 other names. The record is from RNAcentral.
GGCGCAUUCGUCUAACGGUUAGGACGCCGCCCUCUCAAGGCGGUAGUACGAGUUCGAUUCUCGUAUGCGCUACCA